This 195-nucleotide non-coding RNA is filed under the name Alphaproteobacteria bacterium. The record is from RNAcentral. Lineage: Bacteria; Pseudomonadati; Pseudomonadota; Alphaproteobacteria.
UAAGUGGCGGCGAUCGACGGUCUCUCACGUGAGAGCGAACAGGGAAUGCGGUGCGGAGCGAAAGUUCCAAGGCCGCAGCUGCCCCCGCAACUGUAAGCGGCGAGCCCGUGCCACAUUGCCACUGGGACAACCCGGGAAGGCGGUGACGGGCGGCGACCCGCGAGCCAGGAGACCUGCCGUUGAUUCGGUCGUGGU